CAGACCGUGACAUCAUAGACCAGACCGUGAGGGGGAACGUGACCGUGACGUCACUCACGUGUACCAUAACCAGCAGCUGAUCGACUGAGAAGACGUCAUCACGCACGGCCAGUUUAUUAGAAACACCCGAGAACUGUAAUCAGAAUAUUUAGUAAUCCCCGAGGAAAUGACAGUAACAGUACAAGUACCACAGUAUCUGAGUAACAGUUCGUACAGUGUGAUCCAGUGCAGCACGCCAGCUAUGGGACCAAAGAGCAACUGUGAUGUAUUUGAAGCAAAGACAAAAUAACAUUUACAAACAUAAAAACAAAUCUUAAACAUAAAUCAGCCAAACUGCAGUGGUGUUUUAGCACCUGCAGCAGCACUGUGGACUGACUGGAAGCGAUGGAGAGACGGGUGUUGAAGGCCCAACCAGAGAGAAGUGCAGCAGUCCAGUCUAGACGUGGGACGUAGCUGCAGGAUGAAAGCUUUAUCUUUAAAGCAUGUUAUCAUCAUAUGACUGGAUCAGAUAAACAGCUGGAUCUCCCAGUGACUGCAGAGCCUCCACCAGUAUCACUGUAGUCUGUCCAGUUUCAAAUCUCACGGCCACCUGAGUGCUGUAUCCCAUCAUGCACUCUGCUCAGUAAACAUGACAGAGCUGAAACAGAGUAUGUCUAAGUGUUUAUGAAACAUCAUGCUGGUUAGAGCAGGCGGAUCGAUCCACAUAUCCAUAGCAUUGAUACCACGCUGGUGUGGGAUCAAUACUACUGCAAUACUGUGUUUCUAUCCUCUACGUUCAGCAUGAAGACCAGUGAAAUGUGUUAAACGUGUAUUUGCAGCCUGCAGCACAUUUAAACAACAGAAGCUGAACCAAAGUCUUUCAGAGACAGGAACAUCUCCCAGAAAAACUUUCAAAAUAAAAGCUGAAGGGUGUGUUUUGUUGUGGUAACUACUGUGGAAAGGUGAAGUCCCAGUUGUUGAGCGAUCAUUAAAAUGUGUUCAGAACUGGUAAAAUGAUGAUGAUGUCACAACUCA
This is a long non-coding RNA of Astatotilapia calliptera (eastern happy), 1014 nucleotides long. NCBI's taxonomy places the organism in Eukaryota, Metazoa, Chordata, Actinopteri, Cichliformes, Cichlidae. The record is from Ensembl.